RNAcentral lists this long non-coding RNA (1482 nucleotides) under Oncorhynchus kisutch (coho salmon). RNAcentral's name for it is "lncRNA (ENSOKIG00005026927.1)". The record is from RNAcentral. Lineage: Eukaryota; Metazoa; Chordata; Actinopteri; Salmoniformes; Salmonidae.
CUUUCUCAGGGGUGUCAGGUUGUCAUAACAAUCCCCUGCUUUGACCUCUCUCCCUUUUCUUAUCCUCUUCCCUCCCCUCUGCUCUCUACCCUCUCCUCCUCUCCCCUCUCCUCCUCUCAUCUGCUCUCUACCCUCUCCUCCUCUCCCCUCUCCUCUCCCCUCUGCUCGCUACCCUCUCCCCUCUGCUCUCUACCCUCUCCCCUCUGCUCUCUACCCUCUCCUCCUCUCCCCUCUCCUCCUCUCAUCUGCUCUCUACCCUCUCCUCCUCUCCCCUCUGCUCUCUACCAUCUCCUCCUCUCCCAUCUCCUCUCCCCUCUGCUCUCUACCCUCUCCCCUCUGCUCUCUACCCUCUCCUCCUCUCCCCUCUCCUCCUCUCAUCUGCUCUCUACCCUCUCCUCCUCUCCCCUCUCCUCUCCCCUCUGGUCUCUACCUUCUCCCAUCUGCUCUUUCCCGUCUCCUCCUCUCCCCUUUCCUCCUCUCAUCUGCUCUCUCCCCUCUCCUCUCCCCUCUGGUCUCUACCUUCUCCCCUCUGCUCUCUCCCCUCUCCUCCUCUCCCCUCUCCUCCUCUCAUCUGCUCUCUACCCUCUCCUCCUCUCCCCUCUCCCCUCUCCUCUCCCAUCUGCUCUCUACCCUCUCCCCUCUGCUCUCUACCCUCUCCCCUCUGCUCUCUACCCUCUCCUCCUCUCCCCUCUCCUCCUCUCAUCUGCUCUCUACCCUCUCCUCCUCUCCCCUCUGCUCUCUACCAUCUCCUCCUCUCCCAUCUCCUCUCCCCUCUGCUCUCUACCCUCUCCCCUCUGCUCUCUACCCUCUCCUCCUCUCCCCUCUCCUCCUCUCAUCUGCUCUCUACCCUCUCCUCCUCUCCCCUCUCCUCUCCCCUCUGGUCUCUACCUUCUCCCAUCUGCUCUUUCCCGUCUCCUCCUCUCCCCUUUCCUCCUCUCAUCUGCUCUCUCCCCUCUCCUCUCCCCUCUGGUCUCUACCUUCUCCCCUCUGCUCUCUCCCCUCUCCUCCUCUCCCCUCUCCUCCUCUCAUCUGCUCUCUACCCUCUCCUCCUCUCCCCUCUCCCCUCUCCUCUCCCAUCUGCUCUCUACCCUCUCCCCUCUGCUCUCUACCCUCUCCUCUAUCCUCUCCUCCUCCAUCCUCUCCUCCUCUACCCUCUCCUCCUCUCCCCUCUCCUCCUCUCCUCUCCUCUGCUCUCUACCCUCUCUCCUCUCCUCUGCUCUCUACCCUCUCCCCUCUCCUCUCCCCUCUGCUCUCUACCCUCUCCUCCUCUCCCCACUCCUUCUCUCCUCUCCUCUGCUCUCUCCCCUCUCCUCCUCUCCUCUGCUCUCUACCCUCUCCCCUCUCCUCUCCCCUCUGCUCUCUACCCUCUCCUCCUCUCCCCACUCCUUCUCUCCUCUCCUCUGCUCUCUACCCUCUCCCCUCUCCUCUCCCCUCGGAUAUGUAAUGGCCUGUAGCACCACAACAGGCAACUGUUGGAGUUAA